GACAAAAAUUAUCCCUCACUAAACCCUCAGAAAGUAAAACCUCUUAAUGAGGGAACAACGACAGAAAAAACUUUUCCUGCUUUUUUUUUCUUUACCUCGUUUUAUUUUCGUUCCCUCCUAUUUCUUCCAAAAGCCAACAAUUUCCUCUCAAAGCCCUAAAUGAUAGUCAAAUCUCUCCUUCGCCCUUGAAAUCGCCUCCACCACAGUCAACCUGCAUCGCCAUCUUCGAAGACUCUCAAAGGAAAACCUAAUCCGAAAUCACAUCCUAAUUGGCUUUCUCGUUGACUUGCCUCUCAAUUCCAUGUUGAGUCCGAUCUAUUGAUUCAUCCUUUAUUGCUGCUUCAGAUCGUACAUCUGCUCAGCAGCAACAGCGACAUCGAUCACCUGACAGGGUAGCAGCAUCGGUUCUGUUGGCAGUGGCUGGAACACUGUGGUGGUCAUCCCAUUCAAACACUUGUUCGUAAAAAUUUGAUUAACCUUGAGGAAGCUUAGAUAAAAUUGAAAGCAUGGUACUGACAAAUUCAAAGAUAAAAAGAUAUCGACAACAUCAAUCCCAGUUUCCUGGUCAGCCACACACCUCUGAACAUUUUCAGGUUAUUGUGGAAAUUGUUCCUAUAAACAUUGUCACAAAUAUUUGUCACCAUACCACCGUAGGGCCGUCAUCGGAACACCGCUAGACCACCGUCGGGCCGCUGCCAUUAGUUGGCAUUUUCCUUAUCGUAUUCAUAGCUUAAUAAAACAAACAUUAUAACUCUCAUUUUUUUGGUAAUACUUUAUACUUUUCCCGCUAGAAUAUAUAAAAUUUUAGUACAAAAAAAUACAAUUAUAUCUUGAAAAAAUCAUUUUUCUUUUUCCUAAAUUUUAGAUUUCUUUAAAAAAAUAUAUUGUGUAUAAAAAUUAUUAUUAGUUUAAUAAACAUAAUAAUUUAUUUUACAUAGUUUAAUAUUUUCAUGCAUACAUUCAUUCAUAUUUUAACACAAAAUUUAUAUAAAAUAUACAACUUAAUACAGUCUUUUUUUAGUUUAAUAUAUAAAAAUUACAACAUACAAUAAAUUAUAUUCUAAUUCACAUAUUUAAAAAAGUCAAAUCCAAACUCUACCACCACUACCAACUACUACUAUACACACCACCACUAACCAUUUGUGUCACUGUCGCAACCAUCAUUCUCUCCAAAUCAGAUAUGUAUAUAAAAUCAUUGAUUGACAGCUUUAAUAAUAUAUUCACAAUUUAAUAAACCAGUUGAUUCCCUUAUUCACAGUUUAAUGCAAAAUAAUUAUAAAAACUAAUAUAUUCUUACAUAGUUAUACAACACAAAAAAUAAAUAUAUUCAUAAGAAAAUUAAUACAAACAUUCCUAUAUAAAUCAUUCAUAUUUGAAACAAAAUUCAUUAAAAUUAACAGCUUAAUAAAGUCAAUUCAUAGCUUAAUAUAAUGUUACAUCCGGAAUGUAUAAGGUACUAAUCUUGUAUUUAUUUAAGGUUAUUAGCUUUAUACGGUUUAGGCUUGGACCUUUGGGCCUUUGUGUUUGGGCUGAGGAAGCACGUACGGGGGCAUACCUUGCCAUGUACGCUCAACGUACUCAAGGAAUUAGACCGUGGAAGCCAUGCACGUAU
This is a long non-coding RNA of Lactuca sativa (garden lettuce), 1612 nucleotides long. RefSeq lists it as uncharacterized. Lineage: Eukaryota; Viridiplantae; Streptophyta; Magnoliopsida; Asterales; Asteraceae. The record is from RefSeq and is a predicted model, not a curated record.